GUCUGGAAUGUAAACAGAGUCUUGUGACUCCAAGCAACUGCACAGUGGUACAAACAGAAACUAACACCCAUUCCCCAGGGUACAGAGAGAGCUUCGUGCUACUCUUUAUAUACUAUACCCAACAGCUUAAUUAACAUAACAGCACCUGCUUUACUGCUUCACAGCUGUAAAACUAGGUCACAUUAUUUGCUCUGGCCCUUAAAGAAAUGCACAUCUUGUGGAACAAUAAUGAACCUUCAAAUUUAAAGAGACCAUUCAACAGAAGAGGCUGCUGCCACGGAGGACCAGUCCCGUGUGAUGCGCCAGCUCUGAGAGGCAGGCAGAGGGCAGGGCUGCCCCAGGUGGGAAGAAAGUGGGAAUGGAGAAGAGUUCAAGGAUGGUCAGGGAUGAUGGGAGUUGUAGUUUGGGACAUAUUCCUCACCCCCGUCUUAUAAUAUAAGCCAAAAGCAACCUAACAGACUCCUGUUGGAAGUUGGAAAUUGGUGUAGAUGCCAUUAUCGCGUCGGAAUCUGUGGGUUGCUGAGGAAUUUGUGAGCAACUGCUAAAACACUCCAUCUCCUGUGUUUUGCUAAAUUCUCCCGUAAAUGGUGUACAAUUGUUUUGACAUUUCAAACAGCAGAAAGUUAUGCUGGAUAGUUCCUGGGUCUCUCUCUUUUUUUUGUCCUAUCUGUUUUUCCAAAUCCAUUUACAUUUUUUAAAGGAUAAUUCCCUAGGAUUUGAAAUUAUUUUCGAAUGCAGGAGGUGAGGGGGAUAAAAAAAGAGAGAGUUAUCUUCUUCUAGCAGGAGAGGGUGCCAAGACCCCGCCAUCGGAAUGAGACUAGGUUACAGCAGGUGGAGAAGCACAAAGGAGAGGAAAGGAGAGCAGCAACACAAGAGGUUGACUGGCUUCUUGACGUUUGAAUUAUAGCAAUUAUCCUCCCACGCUAUUAUCACUCUGCAGCUCAGUCCUGCCACCCUUAUUCACAUAACUCCAAAACGAAGGUGGCUCUGAGCGGUGGAUUCCCCCACCCCUUGCCUGGCUGAGAAAUCCAGGAUUAGAAUCUCCCUAUGUUUUGGGGCCCCUACAGAGGAUGAAAGUGGUUUUUCUGUGUGAUAUAAUUGGAUUUGUAGGAACAGCAUGCAGCUGGGAGCACUUGAGGGCAGAGAUUCUUUCACAUACUCCAUUGGCUGGGCGAAUGCCGGAUUUGAGGGGAGUCCAGGCAAAGGACCCUUCCUACCUAAUGAGUUCUGCUGGACUUAAAUCACAGGGGUGGGUGGGGAGAGCCAGUGUGGUGUAGUGGUUAAGAGCGGUAGUCUCGUAAUCUGAGUUCUGCUGGACUUAAAUCACAGGGGUGGGUGGGGAGAGCCAGUGUGGUGUAGUGGUUAAGAGCGGUAGUCUCGUAAUCUGGGGAACCGGGUUCGCGUCUCCGCUCGUCCACAUGCAGCUGCUGGGUGACCUUGGGCUACUCACACUUCUCUGAAGUCUCUCAGCCCCACUCACCUCACAGAGUGUUUGUUGUGGGGGAGGAAGGGAAAGGAGAAUGUUAGCCGCUUUGAGACUCCUGAAGGGGAGUGAAAGGCGGGAUAUCAAAUCCAAACUCUUCUUCUUCUUCUUCUAGACAGUUUUGCUUUUGGUCAUGUUCUUAUUUUUUCCAGUCUGUAGGACCUCACAAAAAAAAAGUCAUUAGCAUGUUGUCUGAAUAUGCACAUUUUUUUCUAAGCAAUUUUUCCUAACAUACACAUUUUUGGGGCAAGUAUUAUUCUUUAACAAUACAUUUUUGUUUGUUAUUUUCAUGGAUAUAUGCAUUUUUUUUGUAUACACUCCCCCCAAUAAAUGCAUUUCUGCACACUUUUUCUUGGUCCACCACAAAAUUCAGAGAAGUGCAAAUUUCAAAGGCUGACUGUGUUUCAGCUCAUUGUCUUUUGGAACGUGUGAAUUACAUAGGUAGGUUCACACUGACAUGCAAAUCAAACUGCAUUUCUCUGCCUGCCCUAGUGGUGGGCAGAAGUGACAAUCCAAACAGCAUCAGGUAGUUGGAGAGACUACCAUUUCAAUUCUUCUGAAUUUUCUUGCAUUGCAUCGUGGGAAAUUUAAAUGGGAGCUAGACCUGAUUGGUGGAUAGGAUUAUCCAGAAUGAAACCCUCACCUCCACAUGCCACUAUAGAGACUCCAGCCCAGAGUCAUCCUUGAGAAGGACACCUAAAGUAUUCUGAGUAGAAAUUCAAAUCCAAAUGUUAUUGCAAAAAAUAUAUGCACCAGACUCACAGUUCAGCUAACAAAAUACAAGUAAAGCCUAUUUUUUGACUAUGUUAAGAAAUCUCAUAGAUUCAUAUUAACACACAUUGACUGCAGUGUCUGUGUGUUUUGGCUCAAGUCACAGAGGGGGGAUAAGACAAAGUAGAGACUAAAAUAAUGAAUGUGAAUGGUUAACAUCAUCACUUCAACAGUCAAUCAAUGAGACAGAAGCUAAAAUGAAUACACGUUUCAGCAGUAAGACAGUUCAGAUUAGACAUCAAUGAUGAUGAUAGCUAAAUAAAUUGUAUCAAAAACAAUGUUGUGAAAAGCGAUGAAAGUUGAACCCAACAGAUCAGGGUCCCGGCAAAUCUUAUGUUUGUAGUCUUUCAUGUUUUAAUGUCUGUCCUGUGAGCUUCAGAUGAAGGGCAGUACAGUGGUACCUCGGUUUAAGAACAGCUUUGUUUACAAACUAUUCGGUAUAACAACUCUGCAAAACUGUAAGUAGUGUUCCGGUUAGCGAACUUUACCUCGGUCUAAGAACGGAAUCCGAAUGGUGGAAGGGCAUUGGUGGUCACAGUGUCCCGUUGCACCAGUCAUGCUGCCCACAUGAUGUGGGAGGCCUCAUUAGGGAAUGCGCCUCAGUUUAAGAACAGCUUCGGUUUAAGAACGGGCCUCCUGAAUGAAUUAAGUUCAUAAACCAAGGUACCACUGUAUGCAAAUUUCAUUAAUAAAUAUAAAAUGAUUUUCUAGAUCCAUUUCAAUUGGGUUUUGGCCAGGUUUUGGCACAAAAACUGAUUUGGUUUACCUCUGUUGGGAGAGAGACAGGGAAAUGUCUGAAUUCUCCCCGAUCUCUUGGCAACUUUUGUAACCAUCAACCAAGGUAUCCUUCCGGAACGGCUGAGUUAGGAGUGGCUCCACUUUGCAGUGGUUUUGGUCUUACUUGGACAAUCGUUUACAGAGAGUGAUGCUUGGGGAGUGCUUUUCAGCCCUGUGGAGCCUUCCAUGUGGGGUUCCUCGGUGUUCAAUUUCAUCCCCUUUCCUAUUUAACAUCUACAUGAAACCACUGAAUAGGGUCAUCCGGAAUACAUUGUCAGCAAUAUGCCAAUGACACACAGCUCUACUUCUCUUUUACAUCUGCAGAUGUGGCAGUGGAAGUGCCUCAGUAAUGGACUGGAUGACAGCCAAUAACCAAUGGCCUUUUAAACUGUGUGUUGUUGUGGUGGUGGGGAGGAGUUAUUUUUGUGAUUUUAUAUUGCAAACCACCCUGUGAUCUUCGGAUGAAGGGCAGUAUAGAAAUUUAAUAAAAUUAAUGAUGAUGAUAGAUAGAUAGAUAGAUAGAUAGAUAGAUAGAUAGAUAGAAAGAAAGAAAAUAAUACCAGUUGCUGGCAACUACAGGAGGGGAGAGUUGCUCUUGUGCUCAUCUUCUGCUCACUGGUUUCCCCCAGAUAUCUGGGACACAGGCAUCUAAACCACUGAGCCACUUGGACUUGCCAAUCAGAAGGUUGGCGGUUCGAAUCCCCAUGAUGGGAUGAGCUCCCGUUGCUCUGUCCCAGCUCCUGCCAACCUAGCAGUUUGAAAGUAUGCCAGUGCAAGUAGAUAAAUAGGUGGCAGGAAGGUAAACGGCAUUUCCAUGCGCUCUGGCUUCCGUCACAGUGUCCCGUUGCACCAGUCAUGCUGCCCACAUGAUGUGGAAUGUUGUCUGUGGACGAAUGCUGGCUCCCUCAGCCUGAAAGCAAGAUGAGCGUCGCAAUCCCAGAGUUGUCUUUGACUGGAGUGAAGUGAAGGACAUGAGGCAGGAGUUGAUAAUGCAGGUGAUCUGCAAGCGAGCUGCUGGCCAGCUCUGUGGAGGCUCCUUUUAUUGACACAAUAUGCAAACCCAGGCAGAUACAUUUUGGGCUGUGACCUUUACACAUCUUCCAGUCCUGAGAUUGUGGGGUGGUACAAAGUUAUUUUGCCAUCUGUUUCCACCGUGUCAUUUUCCCUUUGCACAAUGAAGGAGACAAAGGUCUCAGAGACAAAGGUCACAGACAGGAUACAGCAAACUACUGAGAUCGCAAAAGGUUAGACAGAGGGCAAGAUGUUCAGACAGCUGUGGCUUUAUCUGUGAGGAGGAGUGUGCCCUGCACCCCAAGAUCACGCAUGCAGGCAGCUGAGGCUGCCCGCGGGCAGGGAGUGUGCUCCGCACCCAGCAAUCAUUCCUACACAGGGGUCCUUUACAUUUUACCUGGUUGGCCGCUGUGAGAACAGGAUGCUGGACAAGAUGGGCCAUCUUGGCUCUUCUUGUGUGGGUGAGUUCAGGUGUGGCCUUGGAGCUCUUCACAGCAGCUCCCUCAUGCCUUCUGGCUACUGACAUGUGCAAGCAAAUGGCCAGUAGCAGUCACAGCAAGAUGCAGGAAGACCAACAGUGGUGGCUGAAGCCCAGCACCAGGUGGAGACCUUUCUGGCACCUGAGACUUCCAGCACUUGCCCGUUUGCCAUGUGCUGCCUCUGAGCCUGCUAGGAUGGAAGUGGUUUGUGUGUGGAAGGGACCAGGAAAUAAAUUAUAUGACAGCAGGAACCAAAGGGCAAACUCUUUCCAGCUCGGCCACUUUCCCCACUCCUUUCCUCCUUUUAUUGUCGCCUUCAUUACUCAUGUGAAGACUUGGGCAAUUUUCAGCACCAUUUAUCAAAAAAAGGUGGGGAAAACUGCUGCUGGAUUUUUUUUGGUAUUGUUAAUGGGAAUUGCACAGAUAAUGCUCCACUGGAAAUUUACUUCUCGAGUGCGAUUUCAAUUUAGCAGGUGGACCGAGGCUACAAUCAGUGGCAACAGAGUUUCCUUCCUCCAGGAAAAUUUGGAGGUCAUCACUCGAGUCUUUGGUGUUGAAUAUAUGAUUGCAUUAUGUUCCCCAACAACAACAAAAGUGGAAAAUAGGUUAGGAAAUUGCAGGGUAAAGGAGCUAAUGCAUAACCCAUUAUAAUGCUCGACUGCUGUACAGCCGAAUGCCUCCUGUUUAAUUAUGAGGUGGUGAAAUCAGCACAGUGUAGUGACAUUAAUCACUGAAGUAGUGGAGCAUUUUUACUUGAAAAGGAGAAAUUCUUCUUACGGGUAGAUUAACCUUCACCUCCACGUCCUCCUUCAAAUUCAGAAUAAUCUAUGGCAGGGUUGGGGAGCUUUUGGGUCCUCCAGAUGUUGCUGGACUGCAACUCCCAGCAUCCCUGAUUAUUGGCCAUGCUGACUCGGGAUGAUGGGAGCAAGAGUCCAGCAAUAUCUGGAGCACUAUAGUUUCCCCAUCAUCACCCUCUGGGUUAACAGAGGAAGAGACUGCGAACCUUUGGUUCUUGUUUCAGCCAGACCACAGAACCUGUGUAGCGUAAUGGUUAGAGUGUUGGACUAUGACCUGGGAGAGCAGGGUUUGAAUCUCCACUCAGCCAUGAAGCUCACUGGGGGACCUCGGGCCAGUCAACGUCUCUUAGCCUAACCUACCUCACAGGGCUGUUGUGAGGAUGAAAUGGGGAGGAGGAGAACCAUGUGCACCACCUUGAGGUCCUCAGGGGAAUAAAAAGGCACAUAAUAAAUAAAUCAAAACUCACCAGGUAGUUUUGGACAGGUAGCAGGUUUUACGGCAUUACUGAGCUUCUUAAGCAUGUUUACUGAGAAGUCGACCUCAUGGAGUUCAACAGGCUUUACUGCCCAAUAAGUAUAUUUUGAAUUGCAACCUGAGAUUGUUUUCACAUCAUUUUUUAAAAAAUUAAACUGCUUUGAGCUACUGCUUUGUGCUGCAUGUGAGUGCCAUCGUUGAGAGAUGAAGCACAGAAGGAAAAUGGGCACACAGGACUGUAAGAUUUUAUUGUUUUCGGUCAAUGACAAUGUAGGUUUUACAAAACGAUGUGAGGAAAAUCCAGCAGAAGCCUCACAUGUACAAGCUUCCCACUUUGCAACAUGAGAAUAUAUCUAUGUUUAGAUUAAGGUUACCCGAUUUUUUUCAAUGAAUCUGGGGACACUUUUCAACUUCAAUGGAUUUUGUAUGGGGGUAAAGGUAAAGGUACCCCUGACCGUUAGGUCCAGUCACGGAAAACUCCGGGGUUGUGUGCUCAUCUCACUCUAUAGGCCGAGGGAGCUGGCAUUUGUCCACAGACAGCUUCCGGGUCAUGUGGCUAGCAUGACUAAGCUGCUUCUGGCGAACCAGAGCAGUGCACGGAAACGUUGUUUACCUUCCCACCAGAGUGGUACCUAUUUAUCUACUUGCACUUUUGAUGUGCUUUUGAACUGCUAGGUGUGUGGGGACUGAUUUGUAAAUUCAGGGACUGUCCCCGGGAAACGGGGAAAUCUGGUAACCUUAGUUCAGAUCUAAAUGGCUGUGCAUAUUAAGAUUAAAGAUUGGCUGUUGCACUUGAGAGAGCAGCUUCACAUCAUCCUAGCCACCCACUAAAAUCUUUCUUGGAAGUCAUACUCUCCGUCCAACUGUUGGCAUGUGGAUUUUCUUCUUCUUUCGCGGGGAUUUCAUGCUGGCAAUGGGUGGAGACAGAGGCAAUGAUGGACAGAGCCAGAGACGAACGUGUCAUGGAUUAACUGACCUGGAAUAAAUUUGCUCCUAUUUUCACCAUGGCUACCUCAGAUUAGAAUUAUUAAUCCCAGGCAAGUCUACUCAGAAGCAAGCCCCACUGGGUGUGAUGGGGUUACUUGCAGAUGUGUAUUUAACAGACCACUAGAGUUAUGGAAAGUAAGUGGCAGUAAUUCCUUUCUGACUUUAGGGUGCAACACACACACACACACACACACACACACACACACACACACGAAGCCUAUCCAUUUGUUCUUGGGCAGCUGUGGAAAAAUUACAUCAUGUCCUCAAGCCACUUAACCAGCAGAAUUUUUUCAGCCCUUUCCAGCUGCUUUCAGAUAGAAAGAGGGAAUUCAUACUUUUAAAAUAAAUAAUAAGUAAGGAGGAAAAGAAUGGGAAGGAAGGAACUGAUGAGGGACGCUGGGCAGGGCCUUCUUGGUUGCUGCACCCAGACUGGCGAAUGGCCUUGGCUCAUUCUUUGUUGAUAUUCCAAUGCUUAGCAAAGCCCAUUCCUUUCAAAGGUCUCUUCUCUUAUCAGUUUAGUUAUCCCCCUCCACCCUUGUUUGCUGUGGGUGAGACUGCUUGCUGGCUGGUUAUUUCUGCUCCUGCUUUUCUGAUUUCACUGCUGCUCUUCGUGUUUUGUUUUACGAGACUCUUUUUAUUGUAUUGAUUGAUUGUUUUACAUUUUUGUCGCUGUUGUUGCGCCGUGCCUUGAGGGCCCUUUUCUUGAGAGGAGAAAGGCUAGCCUAUAUGUUUUCAUUAUAUGAAUAAAUCGCAUAAACAUAAAUGCACAUGGCAUUUUUAGUAUUUCUUAGAGGGAGAAAUGGCAGGCCCCUGACCCCCAAGGCGAUUAGAAGCUAAAUCUGACCGUGUGGAAGGCAAGAGAAGGAGAGUCUGAGUCCAGGGUCGAAAGAGAUGGAUGUGAGUCCAUGUAGCUACAUUCUGGCUCUGUUCAGGACUGUAAAAUCAUACAAUGGAGAUCACGUGAGGAGCAGGGAAGAGGAAUGAGCCAGUUCACCCCACCCUCUCCACUGCAUCUUUGCCUGGCUGCAGGUUCUAAAUUGCAGAGUGGUAAUUGUGGGUUAUCUGGUGGCUAAGUUUAAAAGAAUAAAAUGACAGUUCCCUGUGUUGGUAGACGGCAGGAGCUCUGUAUUUUGAAGCAAUAAGAUAAGAACAGAAUCCGGUGAGACAGCAGAUUUGCCUUGCUCCAUGUGGAUGCCUAUAUCUAGGUUUAGGGCAAAUAUUAUCUUGGUAAGAGAGCCACAGCCAAUAUUUAAAAUCACAAAACAUGCAGCAAAGUAAAGUGUGGAAAUAUAGGCCUGUUAGACCUGUAAAAUAUCCCCUUUUAAGUUUCUUUCCAAAACUUCCCCUUUCUUCUGCUUUAGCACAGAAACGUCACAUAGCUUGGUAAGCUGGAAAAAAAAAAGUUUUUACUUACAAACUUGUUAAGGUUCAUGUGCUUUUCCAUACAGCAGUCAGAAAACACAGGCGGCGAAACUUAGUUUACAAAAGUUGGCAAAGUGUUCCUUAAUUAUUGAUCUAGAGACACAAAAAUGGCUUGUAAGCCAUGCACAAAAUCUGAACCCUGGUGUAGUCAGGUCCAGACCUCCAUUAUACAUGGAGUUUGGAUGGUAGACUGUUUCCAAAUUAUUUGUAUAGAAACACAAAUGGGGCUUUGUUAAAGCCAUGAGGCUGCCUGGGCUUAGAGCGAUCACCCCAGACGUCCUUCCUGUUAAGUAUAGUGCUUUAAUUUACUGAAAUUGGGAAUGCUUAAUGCAUUACUGCAUAAUUCUGAGAUGUUUCCCGGUAACUUUCAUGUGAUUGGUUAACUCUGGUCACACAGGAGCUAUCUUAUUACAUUCUCCAUUUUGUUUUGGGUGAGAGUGUCUUGACUGUAAUGGCUGCCAUCUCCACAAACACUGAAGAAGGAAGUGUUAGAUAACUCUCUCUCUAAACACAAUAGAGGAGAGGAAUACUAAUGUUUCUGUGUGAAUGUAUGUGAUAGAAAGAAGUACAGAAGUUGAUGUUCUCCCAAAGAAGCAGUAAGGAGAAGUCUACUGGAAGGAGAAAGCAUACCCGCCAACAUUUCUCUGAUGAAAAUAGGGAUGUCCAGCACUAUUUUUCUAGAAAAAGAGGGGCUGGAACUCACCAUGAACACUUCCCUCAGAAUGGCAAUGGCACCGAUCUGAGAGGUACUGGAACUGAGUUUCAGUUGGAAAAAGUAUUGGGAAUGUCCUGUUCCACCUCCUCCAACAUUUUCCCAGUGAAAACAGGGACAUCCUAAGGAAAAGUGGGACAUUCUGGGAUCAGAUCAGAAACUGGGACUGCUUCUGUCAAUCUGGGACUAUCCCUGGAAAAUAGGGACACUUGGAGGGUCUGAGAAAGUAGAAACUUAUUGGAACGAACUGCCUGGCCUAGUUGGGUCAUAUAGAGAAGGCUGAGUGCAAGUCCUGGAAAGAGAAGAAGACAGAGUUUGUUUGAAUGUUUGAGGAAGAAGCUGCAAUCUUCAACUAAGAGAAACUAAGCCCAUUCUUGGAUAAGCAUGUGAAUGUAAAUACUUUGCAUAUUCUCUUCUUUAGCUAUAUGUUCUGCAAGUAUAGUCGUACCUUGGAAGUCGAAAGGAAUCCGUUCCGGAAGUCUAUUCAACUUCUGAAAUGUUCAGAAACCGAAGUUCGGCUUCUGAUUGGCUGCAGGAAGCUCCUGCAGCCAAUCAGAAGCCGCAGAAGCAGCACCGAAGUUUGGCUUCCGAAAAUUGUUCGAAAACCAGAACACUCACUUCCGGGUUUCGAUCGUUUGGGAGCCGAUUUGUUCGGGAGCCAAGGGGUUUGAUAUCCAAGAUAUGACUGUAAAAGUUUUUGAAUAUUUUAACAAGUGUUUGGACAUUGUUUUAAUUUCAAGAAAAGAGUCAGUAUUGUGUCAGAACUCCGUUCGACAGAGCUGAUAAGGCUCAUCUUCAGAAUCGCCUCCCAACGAUUAAUUGAUGACCUGAUCCUUUGAUAAGGCCUCAGGCAGGUCGUCCCAGCAGAGCAUCAAAACAGCAUGCGGAAGGAUGAGAUAGUAUGAGCUACAUUGCUAUGCUUUAUUUUCUAGCUAUGCAGAGAGCAAAGAAAUCUACAUCCUCUCCCUGUGAGAGCAGAGAGCAACUGCACAAAGGAACAAAGGAACAAAGGAAACAGGAAACCACUAACGUCACAUCCCAUCUCCUUUCCCAUGAGACUGGGUCUCUGGAAUGUAAACAGAGUCCUGUGACUCCAUGCAGCUGCUCAGUAAUAAGAACAGAAACUAACAUAUUGCACAUGAUACGGCUUCCUAGCUGCAAUUCAGCUACUCUGCCAACAUGGUUCUCCCCCUUCUCGUUUAAUUGGGAAGGAGGUGUGAGGGCUCUGGCAGGAUCCUGCCAACUUCCAGUAGCCUAGUUAGCACUUGCCCAGUUUGGGGAAGGAACUGGGGGGCUCUAGGGCUCUGCCAGAGCCCCCAUGCCUCCUUUUCAAAGCUUUGGGAAGACAGUGCAAGAGUUGAGGGCAGGGGGUAGGCAUCAGUUUACUGAGGUCUGCCUCUGCUGACUGGCAGUGGCUCUCCAGGGUUUUGGACAGAAUUAAUUUCCAGCCCUCCCUGCAGAUUCCUGAGACUGGGACAUUCUGCAUACCAAGCAGAUGUCCCGACAUCACUUUCCAAAUUGUGUGAAAGACUGAAAGCUCAGUAGUAGAGUAGCGGAUGUUGACAGUCACCCAAAAGCCAUUGCCAACGUUUGCCAGUGUGUGUCUGGAAAAGGGAGAAAAUAUAUACAUACAACAUUCGUGACAUUCGUCUGAGGUUGUUAACAGUCGCUGAAUUCAGGAUAUUUACGGCAACACAUAUAUUGAUCGGCAUUACAAGGGGUUUGCAAUAUUCCAUCAAGGUGAAAUAAUUCAAGCAGAAAGAGCAUGCAGCGCUACAAACCAAGGAUGUGAUUGUGUUUAUGCAGCACGCUAUUGCUGUAAUGCGGAAAUUAUUCAAGUCAGGAACAGCCUUGUGCUGAGUCUUUUGAAAUGAAACCUCUGGGACGCUAAAAGGGCUAAAGGGCGAUGGUUAGUUGUACUAUGGCAUCAAUCAGUAGCUUUGCAUUGCAGUUUUCUCACUUGUGAGAUUGAAAUAAUAAUAAAAAGGACCUUUAUCCCGUUUUCCAGGUCGGUGGCUAUGCUGGAUGUCCAGCAGGUGGUGCUCCUUACCUUGAAGAUGCAAAUCUCUUUUUCAUUACAGGAAACCAAGGUGGUUUGUCUCAACUCUUGCAAAAUCAACAGCUCCAAAUAGGUAAAUCAUAAAAGCGCGGAUCAAUUUAAUUAGUGUCCUGUCAACAUGGGCAGACACCCUUUUUGAUCUAUGCCCAUAUUCUGGGAUCUGACAUGUUUUCCAUAGUUAUUCAAAGGUGUGGAUUGCUAGGAACCUGAGCAUCUGCCUGUCCUCCUUCUGAUCUCUUAACUUGCAAAGCUAGUGGCUAUGAGCAGUCAAGGCCUGUAUGCAGGCCCUUUUCCUUUUAUAUAUGAACAGUCCUGACAUGUGUCUGCUUGCUUACAAUGGGGAUAAAAAGGUAAAGGUAAAGGGACCCCUGACCAGUAGGUCCAGUCGUGGCCGACUCUGGGGUUGCGGCGCUCAUCUUGCUUUAUUGGCUGAGGGAGCCGGCGUACAGCUUCCGGGUCAUGACUAAGCCACUUCUGGUGAACCAGAGCAGUGCAUGGAAACUCUGUUUACCUUCCCGCCGGAGCGGUACCAAUUUAUCUACUUGCACUUUGAUGUGCUUUUGAACUGCUAGGUUGGCAGGAGCUGGGACUGAACAACUGGAGCUCACCCCGUUGCGGGGAUUCGAACCGCUGACCUUUUGAUCGGCAAGUCCUAGGCUCUGUGGUUUAACCCACAGCGCCACCUGCGUCCCCCUACAAUGGGGAUGGGGAACCACAAUUCGAAUACAGCUCUCUAUCAGGCUCUCAGGACUCUCCCCAGGCUACACCCUUUACCUACACUGCUCUGUGCCUUCUCUAAAUGGCUCCUACGUCCAUGGCUUGAAGCAUUAUGUUACUGAAGACCAGUUGUCGGGGAGCACAAGUGCUGUUCUCAUGUCAUGCUUACAAGCUUCCACAGACAUCUGGCUGGCUACAGUGAGAAAUUGGAAUAGAGGGGCCUUUGGCCUGAUCCAGCUUACGGUCUUAUGUUCUUAAACUGACAGUAUUAUAUUUGUGGGGUGCAAGGGAAGAGGAUGUUCAGUCUUCCCGGCUCCCUUGCUUCCCCACAAAUUAUCCAUCCAAAAGUGUGACUUUGACACCUGAUAUUUCUUCUCAGCCAACACCUCAUUCUGUGGCACUGGGGACCAGGACUCACAAAGAGCAGGUGAGGUGGUCAACUUGUUUGCAGGAUAACAACAACAACAAGAUCACAAGAUCUCAGCACAGUUCACAAGAAAAAAGAAAAUAAGAAUGUACCACUUCACAUUGCAGGGGGAGGUGUAUUUGCAGACUAUCAUUUGAGACUGGGUGUGUGUGUUUGGGGGGACAACAGGACUGAAAGUUUCUACACUGGGGGGAGAUCUAUUAUAUAUGUGGCAUGUCAGAGAAAAGCAAUUACAAACCUAGACAGCAUCUUAAAAAGCAGAGACAUCACUUUGCCAACAAAGGCCCUUAUAGUGAAAGCUAUGGUUUUCCCAGUAGUGAUGUAUGGAAGUGAGAGCUGGACCAUCAAGAA
Molecule: non-coding RNA, 12468 nt
Organism: Podarcis lilfordi (Lilford's wall lizard)
Lineage: Eukaryota; Metazoa; Chordata; Lepidosauria; Squamata; Lacertidae
Source: the annotation of a GenBank genome assembly